Xyrauchen texanus (razorback sucker) is the source of this 1366-nucleotide long non-coding RNA. RefSeq lists it as uncharacterized. Lineage: Eukaryota; Metazoa; Chordata; Actinopteri; Cypriniformes; Catostomidae. The transcript is spliced from 5 exons. The record is from RefSeq and is a predicted model, not a curated record.
GGCGGAGUUCAUGUUUAACUAUGGCGGAGCACACGGUAGAACAAGGAAAAGAAGAAGAGAAGUAAAAAGAAGUUAUAUCUUUGAUUGAUGCAACAUACUUAACGUUAUACGCUUAUGCAAAACGGCUCUAAGUAUUUUAACCACAUAAAGAUUCAGAGAGGUUCAGCGCUACCACCUUUGGAGCAAUGCACAACAUGCUGCAGAAAUUUUCACUGCCCUUUUUGUGAUGGUCUUUGAGGAACCCUUUGAUUUCACAGCUUCUGAUUUCCCUCUAUUCGAAAAUGGUGAUGCCUUAUUCUGAUGGAGAACUUUGCCAUUGAAAGGAAACAUUGAUGUGCAGGUGCCACCUAAAGCACAAGAAACUGAAAUCGACGACAAGGAACCACAGAUAGUCAAAGACCUCAGGACAGGAGCUGCAUGGCUCCGGGAAAACUGCCACUCGUUCAGAGGUUUUGUGGAUGAGCCUUUUGUGGAUGAGCCGUGGUAUCGUAACCUAAAUAAGGAAGACCAGGAAAAGGCCCUUAAAGGGUAACUAAACACCUGCUCAGAGUCUGACUCCACCCACUAGAAAUAUUUGAAAAUGCUGGAAAAGUGGGCAGACCCCGGCGGGGAUAGAGGGAACGAACCGAGUGCGGGGGAGACCUGAGACUUGUAGUGACGGAUUAAUUGACAGCUGUUGUCAGACUCUAUGUUAUUAUUAUUCCUCAUUCGGUCGCAAGACAACAUGUACAUGAAUCUGGCAUGGUGAGCUGGAACCUGCUUACGUCAGCUGUCACCGCUUACAUCACGAAGUACCGCAAACAGCCAAUAGGAAAAUUCAACUGCAGUAGCCACUGUUCAACCUGAAGAGGGCAGCACUCAGACGUUUUUACACCAUAUAUUGUAGAAUUAAAACACUUUAUACACAAAUGUCAAAAAAAUUACUUGAAUCAAUGACCAGUACUAAUAAAGCCCCAUGCUUACAGAUCAUUAACUAAAAAAAGUUGGUUUAGGGUUUAGUUACCCUUUAAACUUGAUCAGGCAGAAAAGAAAGAUGAUCUGGAACUGGCCAAAGAGCCUUUCAUGUUUCAGUUCCAGUUUAAGGAAGACAUGGAACUUUUUCUUAGCAAGUGUCAUGAUGAAAGGCGCCUCAGGAUUAACUGCAUUUGUAUGGAGUUUUGAUUUAUUUUAAUUAUUUUUCUCUUGAGAAUUAUUGUUAAAUGUGUGCCUGCAUAACUUUUAUAAGAUUUAUAUUCUUUGGUUUAAUUUAGUUUUAUAUAAUUUAUUUAUUAUUUAGUUCAAUUUUGUAUUUUUCUUUAAUUACUAUUAUUUAUUUGGAGCAGGUACAGCUAGUGUGUGAUUCUUUUCAUAUUUCAAAAGAUGAUUU